Molecule: ribosomal RNA, 468 nt
Filed under: uncultured bacterium
Lineage: Bacteria
Description: partial 16S ribosomal RNA
Rfam family: Bacterial small subunit ribosomal RNA
Source: RNAcentral
GACGAACGCUGGCGGCGUGCUUAACACAUGCAAGUCGAACGGAAAGGCCCUGCUUUUGUGGGGUGCCCGAGUGGCGAACGGGUGAGUAACACGUGAGUAACCUGCCCUUGACUUUGGGAUAACUUCAGGAAACUGGGGCUACUACCGGAUAGGAGCCCCUGCUGCAUGGUGGGGGUUGGAAAGUUUCUGCGGUUGGGGAUGGACUGGCGGCUUAUCGGCUUGUUGGUGGGGUAGUGGCAUACCCAGGGUUUGAACGGUAGGCGGCCUGUGAGGGUGACCGGCGACAUGGGGACUGAGAGACGGCCCAGAGUCCUACGGGAGGCAGUGGUGGGAAGUAUUGCACAGUGAGCGGAAGCCUGAUGCGGCGGCGCCGCGGGCGUGAUGACGGCCUUCGGGGUGUAAACCGCAGUCGCCUAUUACGAAGCUGGAGUGACGGUAAUGGGUAAAGAAGCACCGGCUAACUACGUG